UGCUUCAUGGCGAGAUGUUGAAAGACGGUUUCGGCUGUCACUACAAGAUGGGCCCGCGGCGCAUUAGCUAGUUGGUAGGGUAAUGGCCUACCAAGGCGACGAUGCGUAGCCGACCUGAGAGGGUGAUCGGCCACACUGGGACUGAGACACGGCCCAGACUCCUACGGGAGGCAGCAGUAGGGAAUCUUCCACAAUGGACGAAAGUCUGAUGGAGCAACGCCGCGUGAGUGAAGAAGGUUUUCGGAUCGUAAAACUCUGUUGUAAGGGAAGAACACGUACGAGAGUAACUGCUCGUACCUUGACGGUACCUUAUUAGAAAGCCACGGCUAACUACGUG
Molecule: ribosomal RNA, 337 nt
Filed under: uncultured bacterium
Lineage: Bacteria
Description: bacterial SSU rRNA
Rfam family: Bacterial small subunit ribosomal RNA
Source: RNAcentral